Molecule: long non-coding RNA, 244 nt
Filed under: Rattus norvegicus (Norway rat)
Lineage: Eukaryota; Metazoa; Chordata; Mammalia; Rodentia; Muridae
Description: long non-coding RNA NONRATT033092
Source: RNAcentral
GAAGGACAGAAGUCAUAGUUUGAAGAGGGAAAGAAAUACAGUGAAGUCUGAGCAGCCACUUACGGUACCACAACAAGUCCUGUUCUGAGAACGGUGGACCUCAAAAAACAAGGCUUUUCUCAACCUGACCUUCCCAGCUCAGAGGUGCUCGAAAGGAAUAAAAGUGUCGCAGGCAGAGCAGUGAUCAUCACUGUUUGUGAGGAUACAGCUAGGUGAGUAUUAACAGAAUAGAAUGCAUGAGAGC